UACGUAGGGUGCGAGCGUUAAUCGGAAUUACUGGGCGUAAAGCGUGCGCAGGCGGUUUUGUAAGCCAGAUGUGAAAGCCCCGGGCUUAACCUGGGAAUGGCAUUUGGGACUGCAAGGCUGGAGUACGGCAGAGGGAGGUGGAAUUCCACGUGUAGCAGUGAAAUGCGUAGAGAUGUGGAGGAACACCGAUGGCGAAGGCAGCCUCCUGGGCUAGUACUGACGCUCAUGCACGAAAGCGUGGGGAGCAAACAGG
Molecule: ribosomal RNA, 253 nt
Filed under: uncultured bacterium
Lineage: Bacteria
Description: partial 16S ribosomal RNA
Rfam family: Bacterial small subunit ribosomal RNA
Source: RNAcentral